Psammomys obesus (fat sand rat) is the source of this 106-nucleotide small nuclear RNA. The record is from RefSeq and is a predicted model, not a curated record. Lineage: Eukaryota; Metazoa; Chordata; Mammalia; Rodentia; Muridae.
GUGCUGGACUCAUCAGCGCAUAUACAAAAACCUGAAUUACAGAGAAGAUGAGCACAGCCCCUUGUGCAAGGAUGGCAUGCAAAUUUAUGAAGUAUUCACUCUAUAU